RNAcentral lists this long non-coding RNA (622 nucleotides) under Chinchilla lanigera (long-tailed chinchilla). Its description in RNAcentral is "lncRNA (ENSCLAG00000025139.1)". Lineage: Eukaryota; Metazoa; Chordata; Mammalia; Rodentia; Chinchillidae. The record is from RNAcentral.
GUGGAGGUGAGUAAUCUUUGCCACCUCAAAGAGUAGAUGGAUUACGUUUUCUUUUGUAAAUAUUAAUGCAGAACCCUCGGUAUAACAAACACCAUAUUGGAAAUGUAAGCUAUACCUUCGGGCUUUGUGUGAAAUUCGACAGCCCACUCUAAAAUGUGCGACAUCCUGGCUGACUUCCAACAGUGCGCUUGCAUGAGUUGCUUUCCAGGGAAUCAGAGUCUCACAUGAGAGGAACCUGGAAUCCAACUCCAGAAAGAAAGGUGAGCAACCCAGUAACGCUUACUUGGCGAGCCACUUUCAGAAGGAGCUACCGAUAACAUUUUGGCAUAGCCAGCCAGGAGAAACAGAAGCCAGGAGUUCCAGCAACACCCUCAAAGAGGAAAUGGAUACCUCAACUCGCUCUUGCUUGCAAGUUCCGGAUUUCUCCAGAAGACACAAAUCUUGCUUUUAAUGAGUAACAGGUCUGAGACCUGAGGACUUUGUCUCAAUAAUAGUAGUACCUGCCUCUUAAAUUGUAGUAUGAACCAAAUAAUGAGGUAAUGUGUUUUCAUUUCUCUAAGCUGGGCCUGAUACAUAGUGAACUUUCAUUAAAUAUUAGCUAUUAUUGGAAUUAAUAAAUCCC